RNAcentral lists this ribosomal RNA (554 nucleotides) under uncultured bacterium. Its description in RNAcentral is "bacterial SSU rRNA". It matches the Rfam family "Bacterial small subunit ribosomal RNA", at positions 926 to 1482 of the family's 1533-position model. The record is from RNAcentral.
CAAGCGGUGGAGCAUGUGGUUUAAUUCGAAGCAACGCGAAGAACCUUACCAGGCCUUGACAUCCCAAGGAAAGCCCCUUAAUCGGAGCCCCUCUUCGGAGUCUUGGAGACAGGUGGUGCAUGGUUGUCGUCAGCUCGUGUCGUGAGAUGUUGGGUCAAGUCCCGCAACGAGCGCAACCCUUGUCCGUAGUAGCCAGCAGUAAGAUGGGAACUUUACGGAGACUGCCGGGGACAACCCGGAGGAAGGUGGGGAUGACGUCAAAUCAUCAUGCCCCUUACGGCCUGGGCGACACACGUGCUACAAUGGCGUAACAAAGGGAAGCGAGCCCGCGAGGGGGAGCAAACCCCAAAAAUAGCGUCCCAGUUCGGAUUGUAGUCUGCAACUCGACUACAUGAAGCUGGAAUCGCUAGUAAUCGCGAAUCAGAAUGUCGCGGUGAAUACGUUCCCGGGUCUUGUACACACCGCCCGUCACACCAUGGGAGUCGGUAACGCCCGAAGUGCGUGACUCAACCGCAAGGAGAGAGCGCCCGAAGGCGGGACUGAUAACUGGGGUG